AUGAACGCUGGCGGCGUGCCUAAUACAUGCAAGUCGAGCGAACGGACGAGAAGCUUGCUUCUCUGAUGUUAGCGGCGGACGGGUGAGUAACACGUGGAUAACCUUCCUAUAAGACUGGGAUAACUUCGGGAAACCGGAGCUAAUACCGGAUGAUAUUUUGAACCGCAUGGUUCAAAAGUGAAAGACGGUCUUGCUGUCACUUAUAGAUGGAUCCGCGCUGCAUUAGCUAGUUGGUAAGGUAACGGCUUACCAAGGCAACGAUGCAUAGCCGACCUGAGAGGGUGAUCGGCCACACUGGAACUGAGACACGGUCCAGACUCCUACGGGAGGCAGCAGUAGGGAAUCUUCCGCAAUGGGCGAAAGCCUGACGGAGCAACGCCGCGUGAGUGAUGAAGGUCUUCGGAUCGUAAAACUCUGUUAUUAGGGAAGAACAUAUGUGUAAGUAACUGUGCACAUCUUGACGGUACCUAAUCAGAAAGCCACGGCUAACUACGUG
This 496-nucleotide ribosomal RNA is filed under the name uncultured bacterium. Its description in RNAcentral is "partial 16S ribosomal RNA". It matches the Rfam family "Bacterial small subunit ribosomal RNA", at positions 29 to 507 of the family's 1533-position model. The record is from RNAcentral.